UACCCAUAUGCUAGCUCACACACUAAAUUCAAAUAAAAACUAAAAAUAACCCCUAACACCCUAAAAAAUAAUACUAAAACAUUUUAUAACCCUAGUAAGGGAGACUGAAAAGGAAUAUGGAGCUACAAAACUAGUACCGUAAGGGAAAGCUGAAAAAGAAGUUAAACAAAUAACUUAAGUAGAUAAUAGCAAAGAUUAAAUCUUGUACCUUUUGCAUCAUGGUUUAACAAGAUACCUCAAGCAAAGAGAUCUUUAGUUUGUUAUCCCGAAACUAGGCGAGCUACUCCGAGACAGUCAAAAUAUAAUGGACAAACCCAUACCUGUGGCAAAAGGUUGGGAUGAACUCCGAGUAGAGGUGAUAAGCCAAACGAGCUUGGUAAUAGCUGGUUGCCUGAAAAAUGAAUAAAAGUUCAGCCUAUAUUAUAUCCUAAAUUCACCUAAAUUAAAAAUAAAUAAAUUGAGCUAUGAUAAUAUAGAGUUAGUCAAAAGGGGUACAGCUCUUUUGACAUAGGACACAACCUUAUAAUGAGGUUAAAGAUCAAAAACAACAAAGUACAUGCAUGCCUUAGUGGGCCUGAAAGCAGCCACCAAAAUAGAAAGCGUUAAAGCUCAAGCACUAAUUAUACUUUUAAUUCAGAUAAACAUUCUAAAACCCAUAAACCCAUCAGGCCUUUUCAUAAUACAUGAAAGUGACAAUGUUAAUAUGAGUAAUAAGAGAAGUCAAAGAUUCUCUCCUUUAACAAAAGUGUGCCUCGGAUCGAACUAACACCGAAAUUUAAUGAUCCCUUAUUACCGGAGGGUAAUGUUGUAAAAACAAAUAACAAGAAAAAACAACAAUAAAAAUCAUCAACCCCACACUGGAUUGCUAACCAGGAUAAACUAAAAGGGUGAGAAGGAACUCGGCAAACAUAAAAAUACUAGCCUCGCCUGUUUACCAAAAACAUCGCCUCUUGCAUAACAUAAUGAAUAAGAGGUCCCGCCUGCCCUGUGACUAUAUGUUUAACGGCCGCGGUAUUUUGACCGUGCAAAGGUAGCGCAAUCACUUGUCUUUUAAAUAAAGACCUGUAUGAAUGGCAUAACGAGGGCUAAACUGUCUCCUCACCCCAGUUAAUGAAAUUGAUCUUCCCGUGCAGAAGCGGGAAUUAACACAUAAGACGAGAAGACCCUGUGGAGCUUUAGAUAACUAGAUGAAUUUAUUAAACAACAUAAACCAUAUAAAAGGUAAUUAAAACAAUAACCUCAUCUUAAAUCUUUAGUUGGGGCGACCGCGGAGCAAAACAAAACCUCCGUGAGGAUUGAGGUAAAAACCUUAUACCCAAGAAUGUCAUUUCUAAGUACCAAAAUAUUUGACCUAUUAGAUCCGGCAACAGCCGAUCAACGGACCUAGUUACCCCAGGGAUAACAGCGCAAUCCUCUUUGAGAGUCCCUAUCGACAAGAGGGUUUACGACCUCGAUGUUGGAUCAGGACAUCCUAAUGGUGUAGCCGCUAUUAAGGGUUCGUUUGUUCAACGAUUAAAGUCCUACGUGAUCUGAGUUCAGACCGGAGUAAUCCAGGUCAGUUUCUAUCUAUGUAUGUGGCCUUCUUUAGUACGAAAGGACCAAGAAGGAUAGGCCCAUGUUUUAAAACAAGCCUACUUUUUAACCCUUGAAAGAAUAUUAAAGGUUAAAACAACACAAGACUCUUUAGAAUAUAACUAAAU
Molecule: ribosomal RNA, 1700 nt
Filed under: Hippocampus spinosissimus (hedgehog seahorse)
Lineage: Eukaryota; Metazoa; Chordata; Actinopteri; Syngnathiformes; Syngnathidae
Description: 16S ribosomal RNA
Rfam family: Bacterial large subunit ribosomal RNA
Source: RNAcentral